RNAcentral lists this ribosomal RNA (253 nucleotides) under uncultured bacterium. RNAcentral describes it as "partial 16S ribosomal RNA". It matches the Rfam family "Bacterial small subunit ribosomal RNA", at positions 524 to 776 of the family's 1533-position model. The record is from RNAcentral.
UACGUAGGGUGCGAGCGUUGUCCGGAAUUAUUGGGCGUAAAGAGCGUGUAGGCGGCCAGGUAGGUCAGCUGUGAAAACUCGAGGCUCAACCUCGAGACGUCGGUUGAAACCACCUGGCUAGAGUCCGGAAGAGGAGAGUGGAAUUCCUGGUGUAGCGGUGAAAUGCGCAGAUAUCAGGAAGAACACCCGUGGCGAAGGCGGCUCUCUGGGACGGUACUGACGCUGAGACGCGAAAGCGUGGGGAGCGAACAGG